AUUGCAUCAUAUAUUUGAUGAUUAAUUGUGACCUUGGUGAACUUUGAAAUUGUCCCAAUUCUUUUUCUAUAAUGUUGUCCUUCAACUGUAGAUCAUUUAUCAUUUAACAGAUUUGAGAUAUCUAUUGUCGUUUUAGAGAUAAUGCAGUUUGAAGUUUUGCGAGCGGAGGCAUGUAUUUCUGAAUCAACAAGAGCUUACCACUUAAAAUGUUUUAGAAAUUGAAGAGGUUAACAUAGUUAUAUGUUUGACCCAAAUACCAAAAACAUUCCAUGGAAAAAAACGCCAAAAAUUCAAUUUGAAAUUUUCAAGUUUUGCAUUGACUUUGUAAGUUUCAUAACUUCUAUUUAUAUAGUUGAUAUUGCAUCAUUAUUUGCACUUUGUCAAAUGGGGUCAUC
RNAcentral lists this long non-coding RNA (395 nucleotides) under Mytilus galloprovincialis (Mediterranean mussel). Lineage: Eukaryota; Metazoa; Mollusca; Bivalvia; Mytilida; Mytilidae. The record is from RNAcentral.